AACGAACGCUGGCGGCAUGCCUAACACAUGCAAGUCGAACGAGACCUUCGGGUCUAGUGGCGCACGGGUGCGUAACGCGUGGGAACCUGCCCUUAGGUUCGGAAUAACUCCCCGAAAGGGGUGCUAAUACCGGAUAAUGUCUUCGGACCAAAGAUUUAUCGCCUUUGGAUGGGCCCGCGUUGGAUUAGCUAGUUGGUAGGGUAAAAGCCUACCAAGGCGACGAUCCAUGGCUGGUCUGAGAGGAUGAUCAGCCACACUGGGACUGAGACACGGCCCAGACUCCUACGGGAGGCAGCAGUGGGGAAUAUUGGACAAUGGGCGAAAGCCUGAUCCAGCAAUGCCGCGUGAGUGAUGAAGGCCUUAGGGUUGUAUAGCUCUUUUACCCGGGAUGAUAAUGACAGUACCGGGAGAAUAAGCUCCGGCUAACUCCGUG
RNAcentral lists this ribosomal RNA (433 nucleotides) under uncultured bacterium. RNAcentral's name for it is "partial 16S ribosomal RNA". It matches the Rfam family "Bacterial small subunit ribosomal RNA", at positions 29 to 507 of the family's 1533-position model. The record is from RNAcentral.